This 350-nucleotide long non-coding RNA is filed under the name Helianthus annuus (common sunflower). Its description in RNAcentral is "sRNA HanXRQr2_Chr09g0397711". Lineage: Eukaryota; Viridiplantae; Streptophyta; Magnoliopsida; Asterales; Asteraceae. The record is from RNAcentral.
UUAUUCAACUAGGUAUGUCAAUUAGCCGGCUUCUCUCUUCACGUCCUGCUCAAUGGCUUUAACCUAAUGGAGUUCCAUAAGAUCUCUGGGUUGGGGAAGGACAUGAGGUGCUUCACAGGAUCAUCAUUAUUGCUUGUUCGUCUAUUUAGAAGGUUAGGAAUGGGAUGUUGUUUCCAAGUAAAAGGAUUUCUCCGGAAGGUGUGAUGGAAGAUAUUAAAACGGUGUUUAGGAUGCUGUGUUUUACCUGCUUUUGUGGAAUCAAGUAGGGUGGAGUCUAGAAACGAACAAAGACAAUUUAUUUUUACUUAUUUAAAUCUGAGUUGUUGGAACAUGUUAUUUGUUUUUGAGAU